CAGGGAAUUUUGCGCAAUGGGCGAAAGCCUGACGCAGCGACGCCGCGUGGGGGAAGAAGGCCCUCGGGUUGUAAACCCCUUUUCUGGGGGAAGAGCAAGGACGGUACCCCAGGAAUAAGCCCCGGCUAACUACGUGCCAGCAGCCGCGGUAAUACGUAGGGGGCGAGCGUUGUCCGGAAUUACUGGGCGUAAAGGGCGCGUAGGCGGCCCAGGAAGUCUCCGGUGAAAUCUCCCGGCUUAACUGGGAGCGGUCCGGGGAAACUCUUGGGCUUGAGGACAGCAGAGGAGGGUGGAAUUCCCGGUGUAGUGGUGAAAUGCGUAGAUAUCGGGAGGAACACCAGUGGCGAAGGCGGCCCUCUGGGCUGUACCUGACGCUGAGGCGCGAAAGCGUGGGGAGCGAACCGG
Molecule: ribosomal RNA, 405 nt
Filed under: uncultured Chloroflexota bacterium
Lineage: Bacteria; Bacillati; Chloroflexota
Description: bacterial SSU rRNA
Rfam family: Bacterial small subunit ribosomal RNA
Source: RNAcentral